Molecule: transfer RNA, 73 nt
Filed under: Candidatus Nealsoniibacteriota bacterium
Lineage: Bacteria; Candidatus Nealsoniibacteriota
Also listed under: 1 other name
Description: Candidatus Nealsonbacteria bacterium tRNA-Gly
Rfam family: tRNA
About the family: Transfer RNA (tRNA) molecules are approximately 80 nucleotides in length. Their secondary structure includes four short double-helical elements and three loops (D, anti-codon, and T loops).
Source: RNAcentral
GCGGGAGUAGUUCAGCUGGUAGAACGUCUCGUUGCCAACGAGAAGGUCGCGGGUUCGAUCCCCGUCUCUCGCU